This 260-nucleotide ribosomal RNA is filed under the name uncultured prokaryote. RNAcentral's name for it is "partial 16S ribosomal RNA". It matches the Rfam family "Bacterial small subunit ribosomal RNA", at positions 524 to 784 of the family's 1533-position model. The record is from RNAcentral.
UACGUAGGUGGCAAGCGUUGUCCGGAUUUAUUGGGCGUAAAGGGAGCGCAGGCGGUGACUUAAGUCUGAUGUGAAAGCCCACGGCUCAACCGUGGAAGGUCAUUGGAAACUGGGUCACUUGAAUACAGAAGAGGAAAGUGGAAUUCCAUGUGUAGCGGUGAAAUGCAUAGAUAUAUGGAGGAACACCAGUGGCGAAGGCGACUUUCUGGUCUGUUAUUGACGCUGAGGCUCGAAAGCAUGGGUAGCAACAGGAUUAGAUA